GAACUACAGGGUGAGAGUCUA
Molecule: unclassified non-coding RNA, 21 nt
Filed under: Mus musculus (house mouse)
Lineage: Eukaryota; Metazoa; Chordata; Mammalia; Rodentia; Muridae
Description: oocyte_clustered_small_RNA11762
Source: RNAcentral